Molecule: long non-coding RNA, 136 nt
Organism: Zerene cesonia (dogface butterfly)
Lineage: Eukaryota; Metazoa; Arthropoda; Insecta; Lepidoptera; Pieridae
Exons: 2
Source: RefSeq, a predicted model, not a curated record
GAUUAAUUUGUGGCUAAUUAAAAUUUAAAUGUCACGUUUUAACCUUUAUAUUAAAAACCUAGAGUCUAUUUUUUAGGUACCAGGAAGAGGCAAUGAAUUUUGUUCAAGAUGAAAGUCCGAAUAAGCGAUAUAGAAA